CCUACGGGAGGCAGCAGUGGGGAAUAUUGGACAAUGGGGGCAACCCUGAUCCAGCCAUGCCGCGUGUGUGAAGAAGGCCCUCGGGUUGUAAAGCACUUUCAGUGAGGAAGAACGCCUGGUGGUUAAUACCCAUCAGGAAAGACAUCACUCACAGAAGAAGCACCGGCUAACUCCGUGCCAGCAGCCGCGGUAAUACGGAGGGUGCGAGCGUUAAUCGGAAUUACUGGGCGAAAAGCGCGCGUAGGUGGCUUGAUAAGCCGGUUGUGAAAGCCCCGGGCUCAACCUGGGAACGGCAUCCGGAACUGUCAAGCUAGAGUGCAGGAGAGGAAGGUAGAAUUCCCGGUGUAGCGGUGAAAUGCGUAGAGAUCGGGAGGAAUACCAGUGGCGAAGGCGGCCUUCUGGACUGACACUGACACUGAGGUGCGAAAGCGUGGGUAGCAAACAGGAUUAGAUACCCUUGUAGUC
Molecule: ribosomal RNA, 465 nt
Filed under: Vreelandella stevensii
Lineage: Bacteria; Pseudomonadati; Pseudomonadota; Gammaproteobacteria; Oceanospirillales; Halomonadaceae
Description: partial 16S ribosomal RNA
Rfam family: Bacterial small subunit ribosomal RNA
Source: RNAcentral